This 331-nucleotide ribosomal RNA is filed under the name uncultured bacterium. RNAcentral's name for it is "bacterial SSU rRNA". It matches the Rfam family "Bacterial small subunit ribosomal RNA", at positions 820 to 1155 of the family's 1533-position model. The record is from RNAcentral.
GUGUUCGUGAGGAGACUCAUUGAGUACCGCAGCUAACGCGUGAAGUCGACCGCCUGGGGAGUACGGUCGCAAGAUUAAAACUCAAAGGAAUUGACGGGGACCCGCACAAGCGGUGGAUGAUGUGGAUUAAUUCGAUGCAACGCGAAAAACCUUACCUACCCUUGACAUGUACGGAACCCUGCUGAGAGGUGGGGGUGCUCGAAAGAGAGCCGUAACACAGGUGCUGCAUGGCUGUCGUCAGCUCGUGUCGUGAGAUGUUGGGUUAAGUCCCGCAACGAGCGCAACCCUUGUCAUUAGUUGCUACGCAAGAGCACUCUAAUGAGACUGCCGG